RNAcentral lists this ribosomal RNA (497 nucleotides) under uncultured bacterium. RNAcentral's name for it is "partial 16S ribosomal RNA". It matches the Rfam family "Bacterial small subunit ribosomal RNA", at positions 28 to 507 of the family's 1533-position model. The record is from RNAcentral.
GAUGAACGCUGGCGGCGUGCCUAAUACAUGCAAGUCGAGCGAACAGACGAGGAGCUUGCUCCUCUGACGUUAGCGGCGGACGGGUGAGUAACACGUGGAUAACCUAUAUAUAAGACUGGGAUAACUUCGGGAAACCGGAGCUAAUACCGGAUAAUAUAUUGAACCGCAUGGUUCAAUAGUGAAAGACGGUUUUGCUGUCACUUAUAGAUGGAUCCACGCCGCAUUAACUAGUUGGUAAGGUAACGGCUUACCAAGGCAACGAUGCGUAGCCGACCUGAGAGGGUGAUCGGCCACACUGGAACUGAGACACGGUCCAGACUCCUACGGGAGGCAGCAGUAGGGAAUCUUCCGCAAUGGACGAAAGCCUGACGGAGCAACGCCGCGUGAGUGAUGAAGGUCUUCGGAUCGUAAAACUCUGUUAUUAGGGAAGAACAAAUGUGUAAGUAACUAUGCACGUCUUGACGGUACCUAAUCAGAAAGCCACGGCUAACUACGUG